This 253-nucleotide ribosomal RNA is filed under the name uncultured bacterium. RNAcentral's name for it is "partial 16S ribosomal RNA". It matches the Rfam family "Bacterial small subunit ribosomal RNA", at positions 524 to 776 of the family's 1533-position model. The record is from RNAcentral.
UACGUAGGGGGCUAGCGUUGUCCGGAAUCAUUGGGCGUAAAGAGCGUGUAGGCGGCCCGGUAAGUCCGCUGUAAAAGUCAAAGGCUCAACCUUUGAAUGUCAGUGGAUACUGCCGGGCUAGAGUCCGGAAGAGGCGAGUGGAACUCCUGGUGUAGCGGUGGAAUGCGCAGAUAUCAGGAAGAACACCAACGGCGAAGGCAGCUCGCUGGGACGUCACUGACGCUAAGACGCGAAAGCGUGGGGAGCAAACAGG